CUCUCCAGAGGAGGAAACUUGAAGCUGCUUUUGUCCCAAACUUUUGAGUCCGCUGGAUCCUGGAGGUCUGAACCGGAGAACCGGAGAAACGGGCCAACUGGAGGCCACACGGAACCACACGGAGCUCGGACCGGUCGGGACGACCCGCUCUGCGUGUGUCGCAACGUGAGGGUGAGACGGGGGUUUUACCGUGAACAUCCAUGGAGAACCGCAGCCUCUACAUUAUUCUUCUGCACUUUUUUGGGCGUCCAUCUUGAAAAGUUGUCUCAGCAAAAGACUCCGCGGCCCCGAUGAGGCGCGCGCGGCCGACAAGGCGCGCGUCCUGGUGACGGUCAGUGAUCGAUACUUGUGAUGGAGGGUCAGAGGUCAAGGCCCUCCUCCUCCUGCGGACUGUUGGUUCUGCUCCUCCGGCUGCUGACCUGCUGCGUGGCCGAAGAAGAGCUUCUGAUGAACACCAAGUUGGAAACGUCGGACCUUCGAUGGACGAACCAUCCACCUGAAGAUCCUCAGUGGGAGGAGCUGAGCGGGUUGGACGACGAGGCGAACAGCGUGCGGACCUAUGAGAUCUGCACUCCGGACAGCCUGUCCUCUUAUUGGCUGAGGACGCGCUGGAUCCCCCGGGGGGCGGCGACAACCCUCUACGUGGAGAUGCGGUUCACCAUGGUGGACUGUGCCAGCCUGAACACGCGCCACUGCAAGGAGACCUUUAACCUCUACUACUACCAGUCGGACAGCGACGAAGCCACGCCCACCCACCCGGCCUGGAUGGAGAACCCGUACGUCAAGGUGUCCACGGUGGCGGCGGACCACCUGAUGAAGAGAGGCGUGAGGCGCUCCAACGUCAAGCUGCUGCGCCUGGCGCCGCUGGUGGGGGCGGGGCUCUACCUGGCCUUCCAGAGCCAGGGUGCCUGCAUGGCGCUGCUCUCCGUGCGCGUCUUCUACAGGAAGUGCCCGCCGCUCCGCUCCGCCUUUGCCGCUUUCCCAGAGACCGUUCCCCACUCGCUGGUGGAGCAGGCUCAAGGUGUGUGUGUGGAGAACGCAGUGACACCGCCCGGCGAGCAGUCUCAACCUCCCAGCAUGCUUUGCGGCGAGGACGGGCAGUGGGUGGGGCAGCCGACGUCCAGCUGUGCCUGUCGCCCCGGUUACGUGGCGGGGGAGACAAACGUGCGCUGUCGAGCCUGUCCCUCGGGUCAGUUCAAGCCGGGUUUAGGACCUGGCGUGUGCACUCUGUGUCCAGACAGGAGCAACACUCUGAUCCCAGGCUCCGCCUACUGUCUCUGUCACCAUGGUUUCCACCGCGCGGACGCCGACCCGCCCCACGCCGCCUGCACAGGCCCUCCCUCUGCUCCCCGGUCCAUUGUGAGUCAAAUCAACAACACCUGUGUGACGCUGGAGUGGAGCGAGCCGCUGGACCGAGGAGGACGAGGAGACCUGAACUACAGAGUCCUCUGCUCCAGAUGUGGGCCCGCCUCCCAGGGAUUGGUCACCUCCUGUUCUCCAUGCGAUGACAGCAUCCUGUACCGCCCGGCGCAGCGUGGACUGACCCGGCGCCGCGUCUCUGUGUGGGGACUCCGCCCUCAGUCCAAGUACACCUUCACCGUCCAAUCACUGAACGGCGUCUCUGCUCUGAGCCAAUCAGAGCCGGCCUCCGACAGCGUCAACGUCACCACCAGCAGAGACGUUCCUCCUGCAGUGGCCGGCCUGAGGAGGGUGGCGUCCUCAGAGUCCAGUCUGUCUCUUGAGUGGAACGUCCCAGUUGUGCAGAACCAGUUCCAGAUCCUGGACUACCAGCUCCGCUACAGCCCGAAGGAGGGCGAGGGGGCGGGGCAGUGGCAGUACGUGUCCAGCAGGUCUUCUUCGGUGGUGGUGACGGGGCUCCGGCGGGCCGCGAGGUAUCGGGUUCAGGUCAGAGGUCGUUCUCAGGCCGGUUACGGGUCCUUCAGCCCGGAGAGCAGCUUCAGCACGCUGCCUGAGGGUGUCGGUUCUCAGCUGGUGGUGACAGCGGCUCUCGUCUCCAUGGGGAUCCUGAUGCUUGUUGCCACGGCGAUACUGGCUCUGUACUGCUACCGCAGGAGGGUGAAGGACUCUGAGUUGACUGAUAGAAGUGGACACUACCAGAUGGGACAGACGAUGAAGGUGUACAUCGACCCCUUCACCUACGAGGACGCUAACGAGGCGGUGAGGGAGUUCGCCAAAGAGAUUGAGGCGUCUUUUGUGAAGAUCGAGGAAGUGAUCGGAGCAGGGGAGUUUGGCGAGGUGUGCAGAGGUCGGCUGAGGGUCCCGGGCCGGCAGGAGAACUACGUGGCCAUCAAGACGCUGAAGGGCGGGUACACGGACAAGCAGAGGCGCGACUUCCUUUCGGAGGCGUCCAUCAUGGGUCAGUUCCAGCACCCCAACAUCAUCCACCUGGAGGGCGUCAUCACCACUUCCUGUCCCGUCAUGAUCCUCACGGAGUUCAUGGAGAACGGGGCGCUGGACAGUUUCCUGAGGGUGAAUGACGGACAGUUCACCCCCAUCCAGCUGGUGGGGAUGCUGAGGGGCAUCGCCGCCGGCAUGAAGUACCUGUCGGACAUGAGCUUCGUCCACAGAGACCUGGCAGCCCGCAACAUCCUGGUCAACUCCAACCUGGUCUGUAAGGUGUCAGACUUCGGUCUCAGCAGGUUUCUGACUGAAAACUCUUCUGACCCGACGUACACCAGCUCUCUGGGAGGGAAGAUUCCUAUUCGCUGGACCGCCCCUGAAGCCAUCGCCUACAGGAAGUUCACCUCGGCCAGCGAUGGGUGGAGCUAUGGCAUCGUCAUGUGGGAGGUGAUGUCGUACGGAGAGCGACCUUAUUGGGACAUGAGCAACCAGGAUGUGAUUAAUGCCGUAGAGCAGGACUACCGUCUCCCCCCCCCACCCGAGUGUCCCGCCUCCCUCCAUUCCCUCAUGUUGGACUGUUGGCAGAAGGAACGAGCCAAUCGGCCGAGAUUCUGCGAUAUCGUGUCUGCUCUCGAUAGGCUGAUCCGAAAACCCGCCUCCCUGAAGGUGACGCUUGCAGAGGGCCACAGUGACCUGUCUGUCUCCCUGUCUGCCUGUCAGUGGGUCCCAGCCCCUGUUGGACCAGCGUGUCCCCCCCUCCCUCUCGUCCUGUGGUUCUGUCUCUGAGUGGCUCCGGGCCAUAAAGAUGGAGCGAUACGAGCCGAGCUUCCUUCAGUCCGGGUUCACCAGUCUGGACGUUGUUUCUCAGCUCAACACUGACGACUUGCUCAGAGUGGGCGUGACCCUCGCCGGACACCAGAAGAAGAUCCUCACCUCCAUCCAGACGCUCAAAGUCCACAAAGCUCCGCCUCCGCCGCUCUACUGACCUAUCACAGCAUUGCCCCCCCGGCUGAGCUGCCCAAUAAGCACUACACUGGAGGAUGCUGAGCCACGCCCAUUCUUUAUUUAACAGCUGAACGUUUCGACCAAUUGGGAAGCCGGAGGGCUGUUGAGACUCCGCCCCAUGAUAGUCAGAAGCACAGCACAUGUACAGCUGCUGUCAUGAUUGGACGUCCACUUUUGUUACAUUGACCAAUCAGCCCUCUGCUCAGGAAAACCGAAGCUCCGCCUACUUUUUCCAGGUGUUUUCAUCACCCUAAUCCAAAGCCGUGGAGCAACUGGCUAAUCAGCCUCUUGCACAGCAGGGACACAUGUCCGCCAUUGGACAACUGCCCCCCUUUGCCCUGCUGUUUAAGCCCCGCCUGCCUCUGACUGCCAGACCGGUACCUCACACCCCCGGGUUCUUCAUCUC
Non-coding RNA from Gasterosteus aculeatus aculeatus (three-spined stickleback), 3772 nucleotides. Lineage: Eukaryota; Metazoa; Chordata; Actinopteri; Perciformes; Gasterosteidae. The record is from RefSeq and is a predicted model, not a curated record.